Molecule: long non-coding RNA, 251 nt
Filed under: Gossypium barbadense (sea-island cotton)
Lineage: Eukaryota; Viridiplantae; Streptophyta; Magnoliopsida; Malvales; Malvaceae
Description: long non-coding RNA (GBAR_LNC006304)
Source: RNAcentral
CGGGUUGGUUCAUGCCAUUGAUAUCUGAGCACCUGAAAGUUGAAUGGAAAAGGAAACUAUAGAGGAGCAUCAAAGUAUUGGGACCAACAAGCAUAAUAUUAUGACAUGAUGUGAGAUAUAUGCAAUGGCUGGUUGUGAAAAGAGGGAAAAAUUAUGAAGUUAAUGAGAAUGAAAAGACCAUGACAAAAUGCAUCUCAUUAAUGUUCACUUAAAUGAUAAAGAGCAAAUCAUAAGCUCUAGCAAAAGAAUCC